UAAUUAUUUGAUUUACAGUUAAAGGCGUGGUGUUUUCACAUAUUCUUGGAUACAGAAUAGCCCAAGGAAACACAGAAACAUGUUUCAAAGGGUAGGUGGAAGAUUCUGAAGAAUGUUUCGUCCUUGACAGAAGGAAAUGUAAAAUAAAUGAAAGGUUUAACAGUCCCUUAAAGAAGCCAAGCGCCCCCAAUGGAACACAUUUGAUAUAGGACAGUAAAACGAUGCUUUAGACCAAGUUUGAUGACGCUCCAUCCAGUGGUUCAUAAGAAGCUGUUUUAAGAUUAAAGUGGUACUCUGUUUCAAUUUCAUUUGGAUUGCAAAUACCAUCUACCAGUCUGGAGGCGGUGUGAAUUUAAUCUAAAACAGAGAGAAGUAUUCAAGAUGCUGUAUUUAAACUGCACUAGAUGGACUUUGGUUUUCGCGUGUAUUAUGAGUAUGCUAUUGCACUGUACUGUGUGUACUGGAGAAGAUUACACAAAUGAAGAAGACAAUUCUGUUCUUUCCAGUAUUAUACGGCUUUUCUAUGCACUUUUCGAAUUUAUCUGGAUGUUAUUUAAGUUGAUCAGCUUCUUAUUUGGAAAUAUAAUUGACGUCGUUGUGUAUUUUUUAAAUUUGGUUGCAAUAUUGUUUCAUCUUAUAUCUUGGUAAUGGUGUAUAAAUCUGAGAUUUUGAUAUUCACACUGAAUUAUUUAUGCUGGAAAUCAAUUGUAACUUGUAAAUGACCAAAUCACUUCUUUACAGUUGUGAGGCAAGACAUUCAAUAGAACUAUCGGCGUGUCAACGCAGGUUACACGUCUCACUCUGACUUAAGAAAUUCAUCCGCCAACAAGAUAAUAAUGUUUCUCACAAAUUAUUUACUUACAGCAUGCAAGAUACAUACUUUGUUGUGUUUACAAUCUAACAGCCAUAUGACAACACUAUAGAUGCCCAUUGGCACUGUAUUCAAUAUAUAUUAGAUUUGUCCAGUUGACCGUGUGAAAUAUGUAAAUUAAUCUUUAAGAGUAUGAAAUAUGUAAAUUAUUAUUUUUCCGAGCAAGAAAAGGAUGCACAGACCUAUUUUGAUAUUAGUAAAGUCGAAAUAAUUAUUUUACUGACAAUGUGGUUUCAAGUCGUCCGAGUCGGCUGGGUCUUCAAUUUUAAACGUAAGAGUGAUGUUAUAAAACACCCAAAGGGUAAGUUAUAUCAAAUACUUUUUUUUUUAAAUUAUUUUUUACACAGCUGAGUUGAGCCAGAACUAUUCUGUAAAAGAUCACCGAAGCAAAAACGAUUACUUUCACCGUUUUUCGUACUUUGUAAAAUAUAAAAACAAAACUUACCCUAAAUUUUAGCAAAAAAAAAAAACAUUCACAAUUGACGUCAAUGGAAAACAAGGGUUGAACGUUUAAAAAGUACAAAGGGUAAGCGAAAGCGUAAACUUACAACAUUUAAAAUUAUAUCAUCAUUUAAAGGAAAGAUUAUCAACGACUGUCACCGAAGCAAAUUCGUUAUAUUAAACCAUUUAAAAGAUAUAACGAAUAAUCGAAAUUAUCCUUCGUUAUUUAAUGUGUCAAAAAAAAAACAAAAAAAAAACGAUAUUCGAAUUAUUGGAAAAAUUGAAUAUGGGUCUUUGUAUAAAAAAUCCUGCGGUUGUUUAUAUUAAAUGUAAAGAUUUAUAUUUUGACAUUCUUGUUUAUUUCUAGUUUGUUUUCUACAGUUAAGA
Molecule: long non-coding RNA, 1699 nt
Organism: Mercenaria mercenaria
Lineage: Eukaryota; Metazoa; Mollusca; Bivalvia; Venerida; Veneridae
Exons: 4
Source: RefSeq, a predicted model, not a curated record